AAAAAAUUCAAAAUUUAAAUAUUAUUAUUAACUUUUCUAAUUAGUAAAUGAAAUAAAAAUAUUUUUAUAAAUAAAUAAUUUUCUUCUUAAUAUUUAUAAAAUAUUAAUUAUAUAUUAAAAAUAAAAAAUAAACAUAUCAUAUUCAUUUUAUAAAAUUUCUUGUAUUACUAUAAAUAAAAAGAUAAUAGUUAAAUAUAAAUUUAAAUUUUUAAAUAUUAAAAUAUCAAUAUCAUUAUUUUUUUUAUUUUCAAUUUAAAAAUUUUACUUGGCCAGGCCAAUGGAUCGUUGGAUCAAUAAGUCAUCAGUUCAACCACCAAAACAUCUGAUUUUUUUACGGGUCAAUUUCUUGUCACAUUCAAUGAGAGAAAUGGUCCAAUUUUACAUCCAAGUGACUGAUUCACCGGAUCAAUUAGGGUUUUAUAACAAUGCAUAUAACUAACUAGUAGAUUGAGAUUGACAUUGAGAUUAAGUUGACUUAAAGUACAACUAUUACAAAAAUUUCAAUUUGAUCGUAAACCGAUGUAGUUUGGCUGAGCUUUAGCAUUUGCAGUUUCAAUCAAUACAAAAUGUUUAACAGUUAGGAACAUAAUAUGAAAUCAUGUAAUAUGUAGCAAUUGAAACCACUAAAAUCCUCAUUAAAAUUUAUGGAUAACUUACUAUUACUAUGCCCCUAAAGAUAAGUCAUAUUCAGUCCUAUUAAAGCUCACUUGAAGGCCGACUCGACUAAGGGACAAAGUUUAUGGGUUAGUAGUUCAAUUAGUGAGCCAUUAAAAAAUUAAUUAAAUAUAAUACCUACUAAUAUAAAUAAAUAAAUCUAAUUAAUUAAUUUUUAAUUAUUUAAAAUCAAACUUUCAACAUUUAUUAUCUUAUAUUCACAUAUAUUUUAAUAGUGCUUUUAAAUUUCAU
This 906-nucleotide unclassified non-coding RNA is filed under the name Hevea brasiliensis (rubber tree). The record is from RNAcentral. Lineage: Eukaryota; Viridiplantae; Streptophyta; Magnoliopsida; Malpighiales; Euphorbiaceae.